AUCGCUUCUCGGCCUUUUGGCUAAGAUCAAGUGUAGUAUCUGGAUUCCAGGAGUCGAGCACAAUAGUAAAAACACCAAAC
Small nuclear RNA from Rattus norvegicus (Norway rat), 80 nucleotides. Ensembl annotates it as U2 spliceosomal RNA. The record is from Ensembl. NCBI's taxonomy places the organism in Eukaryota, Metazoa, Chordata, Mammalia, Rodentia, Muridae.